UACGGAGGAGGCAAGCAUUGUCCGGAAUUAUUGGGCGUAAAGAACACGUAGGUGGUUUUUCAAGUCAUGUGUGAAAACUUUGGGCUUAACUCAAAGAUUGCAUAUGAUACUGAUUAACUAGAGUACAGUAGAGGAAAGUGGAAUUCCUGGUGUAGCGGUGAAAUGCGCAGAUAUCAGGAAGAACACCGGUGGCGAAAGCGGCUUUCUGGACUGUUACUGACGCUGAGGUGUGAAAGCUAGGGUAGCGAACAGGAUUAGAUACCCUGGUAGUCCUAGCCGUAAACGAUGGACACUAGGUGUGGGGAGUUAUCGACGCUCUCUGUGCCGAAGCUAACGCAUUAAGUGUCCCGCCUGGGGAGUACGGUCGCAAGACUAAA
This 377-nucleotide ribosomal RNA is filed under the name uncultured bacterium. Its description in RNAcentral is "bacterial SSU rRNA". It matches the Rfam family "Bacterial small subunit ribosomal RNA", at positions 524 to 898 of the family's 1533-position model. The record is from RNAcentral.